UAGGUCUCACUGAUCAGAUCCCCGCUGACCUUGCCCCAGCUGCAGACCCCUAUUGACUGUGGGCGGAGGAUUACCCAGGUGCCGAGUGCAUAGAAGAAAACGCUGACGUAUGCUGCCUUCUCUCUCUCUGCUUCGGCUACCUAAGAGGGAAGGGCCCCCUGUGCUGUGAUCACGUGACUUGCUUCACCUUGUCAAUCACUUAGAAGAUUCACCCUCCUGACCCUACGCCCCUUGUCUUGUAUGCAAUAAAUAUCAGUGUGCCCAGCCAUUCAGGGCCACUACUGGUCUCCGCGUCUUGAUGGUAGUGGUCCCUCGGGCCCAGCUGUUUUCUCUUUA
Homo sapiens (human) is the source of this 336-nucleotide long non-coding RNA. RefSeq lists it as uncharacterized. The transcript is spliced from 2 exons. The record is from RefSeq and is a predicted model, not a curated record. Lineage: Eukaryota; Metazoa; Chordata; Mammalia; Primates; Hominidae.